Non-coding RNA from Heligmosomoides polygyrus, 71 nucleotides. Lineage: Eukaryota; Metazoa; Nematoda; Chromadorea; Rhabditida; Heligmosomidae. The record is from Rfam.
ACGCUGGUGGUGUAAGGUGAACAUCGCUGCUCGGAAAGCAGAAGGUACGGGUUCGAGUCCCGCCUGGCACA